UGGCGUAGAGUUGCAGAAGGUUGCUCAGAAGCCCCUUUGCCAUGCAGGCUCUAUGACACUCGUAAGCGUGUGCGCACGGAGGACCAAAAGCGAGAGGCCUCACAGACACUAGCAGUCAGGUUACAAGAAGCAGGUUGCAGUACUAGUCUUGUGGAUGUUCUCGGUUCAGCCUCAAGUUGUUCAUUAUACUGCACUGGUUUCCCUUGGGAGACUUCAUGCUGUACAAUCUGGUCCCAUACCAAUCUUCACCUUAUUUAAGGAUGAACCACAGUGGACGCCUCCUCAAGAUGUGGCUCACGUCUCGACUCUGAAGAACAUAUGUUUGUCAGAAGAAGAGGCAAGGGAUAUGGAAAGGGACACCAG
This is a long non-coding RNA of Ornithodoros turicata, 363 nucleotides long. RefSeq lists it as uncharacterized. The transcript is spliced from 3 exons. Lineage: Eukaryota; Metazoa; Arthropoda; Arachnida; Ixodida; Argasidae. The record is from RefSeq and is a predicted model, not a curated record.